This 497-nucleotide long non-coding RNA is filed under the name Ananas comosus (pineapple). RNAcentral describes it as "long non-coding RNA (ACOM_LNC006496)". Lineage: Eukaryota; Viridiplantae; Streptophyta; Magnoliopsida; Poales; Bromeliaceae. The record is from RNAcentral.
AAUAUUAAUAGUAUUAUUAUUAUUUGGGUUCAGCAUGUUAUAUUAAAUCAAGUUAGGUAUUUAGGAUCCACUAACGUAGUUUGGAAUGAGGGCAUGUUUAAUUCAUCUAUUUUAGACUAUGAAAUUAAAUAAGAUUCACUGAUUUUGAUAGUUGUUGUUUGUUUUAUUAGAAAUUGAAUUUUGAUUCCUCUUCCACUAUGGAAUGAGAAUAACCAAAUUUAUUUAUGAUCCAAUUCGACUUUAAAUUUUCCAUUGGCUCAUUCUAAAAUAAACUAAUCAAAAUCCUCUCUCACAAACACCUUCUCCCCCUUUUCCUUCAUCACUCUCAUCUUUUUUAAUCAAAACCCUUUAUCAAAAUUCUAAAUUUUAAUUUUGAUUUCUAUUUCAAUAAUGAAUUAAACAUUUUUAGCUGAUUGGUAAUUUUAUUUUUCAUUCCAAAAUAAUCAACUUUUAUUUAUCAUUUCUAUUCCAAUCAUAAACCAAGCAUUCCCUAAAGU